This 460-nucleotide ribosomal RNA is filed under the name uncultured bacterium. RNAcentral describes it as "partial 16S ribosomal RNA". It matches the Rfam family "Bacterial small subunit ribosomal RNA", at positions 338 to 795 of the family's 1533-position model. The record is from RNAcentral.
CCUACGGGGGGCAGCAGUGAGGAAUAUUGGUCAAUGGACGAGAGUCUGAACCAGCCAAGUAGCGUGAAGGAUGACUGCCCUAUGGGUUGUAAACUUCUUUUAUACGGGAAUAAAAUGUUUCACGUGUGGGAUUUUGUAUGUACCAUAUGAAUAAGGAUCGGCUAACUCCGUGCCAGCAGCCGCGGUAAUACGGAGGAUCCGAGCGUUAUCCGGAUUUAUUGGGUUUAAAGGGAGCGUAGGUGGAUUGUUAAGUCAGUUGUGAAAGUUUGCGGCUCAACCGUAAAAUUGCAGUUGAAACUGGCAGUCUUGAGUACAGUAGAGGUGGGCGGAAUUCGUGGUGUAGCGGUGAAAUGCUUAGAUAUCACGAAGAACUCCGAUUGCGAAGGCAGUUCACUGGACUGCAACUGACACUGAGGCUCGAAAGUGUGGGUAUCAAACAGGAUUAGAUACCCGAGUAGUC